This 253-nucleotide ribosomal RNA is filed under the name uncultured bacterium. RNAcentral describes it as "partial 16S ribosomal RNA". It matches the Rfam family "Bacterial small subunit ribosomal RNA", at positions 524 to 776 of the family's 1533-position model. The record is from RNAcentral.
UACGUAGGGUGCAAGCGUUGUCCGGAAUUAUUGGGCGUAAAGAGCUCGUAGGCGGUUUGUUGCGUCGGCUGUGAAAUCCCGAGGCUCAACCUCGGGUCUGCAGUCGAUACGAGCAAACUAGAGUGUUGCAGGGGAGACUGGAAUUCCUGGUGUAGCGGUGAAAUGCGCAGAUAUCAGGAGGAACACCGGUGGCGAAGGCGGGUCUCUGGGCCGAUACUGACGCUGAGGAGCGAAAGCGUAGGGAGCGAACAGG